Molecule: long non-coding RNA, 405 nt
Filed under: Phasianus colchicus (ring-necked pheasant)
Lineage: Eukaryota; Metazoa; Chordata; Aves; Galliformes; Phasianidae
Description: lncRNA (ENSPCLG00000010842.1)
Source: RNAcentral
CUCAGAUUCCUUCUGAGCCUUUCAUGCUUCUUCCAUACUAAAAAAGAGAAAGCAUGUAGUUUUGAACAAGAAGGAUCUCACUUCCUCUCCAGUGCCUGGAAAUGGACAUUCCCUAUAGCUGCUCAUUGUAGCAGGGCUGCUUAAAUUUUAAAUUCUAUGCAGGUCAGAGUUUGGUGUACUACCCACAAGGAAGCAAUGGCAUGCAUGCUGCAAUUGAAAAAACACAUUGAAGAGAUGAAAAGCAGCAAUAUGCAAGGUUUGCAAAUAACGUAAGCACAAGAGACAUGGUUUUGUAGCAACUGCUUGCCACCAUGACUGAGAAUGUGGACAUGUCAUCGAUACAUCAGUGAGGAGUGUCUUUCAGGUAAUCUUUUAUAGUGCUGCCAAGUAACUCUGCUCAUUAUG